This 497-nucleotide ribosomal RNA is filed under the name uncultured bacterium. RNAcentral's name for it is "partial 16S ribosomal RNA". It matches the Rfam family "Bacterial small subunit ribosomal RNA", at positions 28 to 507 of the family's 1533-position model. The record is from RNAcentral.
GAUGAACGCUGGCGGCGUGCCUAAUACAUGCAAGUCGAGCGAACGGACGAGAAGCUUGCUUCUCUGAUGUUAGCGGCGGACGGGUGAGUAACACGUGGAUAACCUACCUAUAAGACUGGGAUAACUUCGGGAAACCGGAGCUAAUACCGGAUAAUAUUUUGAACCGCAUGGUUCAAAAGUGAAAGACGGUCUUGCUGUCACUUAUAGAUGGAUCCGCGCUGCAUUAGCUAGUUGGUAAGGUAACGGCUUACCAAGGCAACGAUGCAUAGUCGACCUGAGAGGGUGAUCGGCCACACUGGAACUGAGACACGGUCCAGACUCCUACGGGAGGCAGCAGUAGGGAAUCUUCCGCAAUGGGCGAAAGCCUGACGGAGCAACGCCGCGUGAGUGAUGAAGGUCUUCGGAUCGUAAAACUCUGUUAUUAGGGAAGAACAUAUGUGUAAGUAACUGUGCACAUCUUGACGGUACCUAAUCAGAAAGCCACGGCUAACUACGUA